RNAcentral lists this transfer RNA (70 nucleotides) under Stegodyphus mimosarum. It matches the Rfam family "tRNA". From Rfam's summary of the family: Transfer RNA (tRNA) molecules are approximately 80 nucleotides in length. Lineage: Eukaryota; Metazoa; Arthropoda; Arachnida; Araneae; Eresidae. The record is from Rfam by way of RNAcentral.
GCCUUCGUGGUGUAAUGGUCAGCACACUCGACGUGUAUUCGAGUGGUCUGAGGUUCGAGUCCCGGCGGCA